UAAAAGGUAGCAUAUAUUAAUGUGUUUUGCUUACACCAAAAAGAAGACUUUCGUUCCUUUUAU
RNAcentral lists this transfer RNA (63 nucleotides) under Mercenaria mercenaria. RNAcentral's name for it is "tRNA-Val". The record is from RNAcentral. Lineage: Eukaryota; Metazoa; Mollusca; Bivalvia; Venerida; Veneridae.